GCCAUAUCACGUUGAAACACCAGUUCGUGUACGAUCAAUGAAGUUAAGCAACGUCGAGCAUGGCCAGUAUCUAGAUGAGUCACCGUUUGAGAAUACCAGGUGCUGUAAG
Molecule: non-coding RNA, 109 nt
Organism: Acanthosepion pharaonis
Lineage: Eukaryota; Metazoa; Mollusca; Cephalopoda; Sepiida; Sepiidae
Source: the annotation of a GenBank genome assembly